This is a long non-coding RNA of Neofelis nebulosa (Clouded leopard), 1241 nucleotides long. RefSeq lists it as uncharacterized. The record is from RefSeq and is a predicted model, not a curated record. The transcript is spliced from 2 exons. Lineage: Eukaryota; Metazoa; Chordata; Mammalia; Carnivora; Felidae.
UACAGAAUACACAAUGCAAAGAAAAGUAAGACUGCCUUCUGUAAAGCAAUUGAGAAAGAAAAAAGAGACUCAAUAUUUUCACAUAACAACCCUUAAAAUGCUAAGCAAUACUGGCAUUAAAACUGGCAGUACAAUUCAAGAUUGUCUUGGAAACAGAGGACAUUAAGGAAAUUGGUGCUGACCACCAUCUGGGAGCUCAGGUGGAGCUGAAAGGCACAGCCCCUGGUACUCCUCCAUGUGGACCUAUCUACAUGGCUACUCGGGCUUCGUCAGAGCAUGGCCACUGGAUUCCAAACAGGAGGAAAUAGGAAGCCCCCAGUCCACUUAUGGCUUGGACCCAGAAGACCUAGAAUGCCAUGUAUGCCACAUUUUAUUUAUCAGAGCAGUCAGAUGGCCAGUGCAGAAUUACAGGAAGAAGAAUUACACUCUACUUUUGGAUGGAGGGUGGCAUGUAUGUAUGGAGACCAAAGGAACUGAUGUCAGCCAUCACUGGAGACCAUCACACAGACUUAAUUUCAUUCCAUUUCUGACCAGGUUAAGCAAAACACGCUUUCAGAGUCUCUCUACACUGUAAUAGUUCUGUAAAUUCCAAAUCAACACAACAAACCUACUCUUAGUGUAAUGUGUUUUAUCUAAGAUUUUUCUUCAUUUAGUCAUUAAAACUAAAAAGCAUUGUACAUUUUCAUUGGCUUAACUGUAUUAUUUUGAAGCAAAUAAAGCAUUUAAAACACUAAGUAAAAAGUUAGUUACUAUCCUUUUUCUAGUGUUAUGAUAUCCACCAAUAAUUUGCUGAGCAGAAAUAAUUUUCAAGGAAUUAUGCUGAAAGUAAAUGAAACUUUAAAGGCAACAGAUGCCUGAAAAGCUGACUUGAAAAGAGAAACGCAUAGUAUGAUAGCAACCAAAUAAUUAUGAAGAAUAACAGCUAAAUAUUUAACAUUUUAGUCACGCUUUGAGAAAGACAAAAUCUCUUUGAACAUAAUGCAGUGUAAAAAGAAAAAAAAAAAGAUGAGAAAGAAGAAAAAUACCAAGUAAAGGGCUAGCAGGAAAAAAAGUGAGACCAAAAUUGGUAAAAUAUAGCAUUUCAGAGAGAAUCUUAGUCAAAAAAUAAUUGAAAAAUGUUUAUUUAUUAGAAGAUCACUGCUUUAUUUACCCAAAAUGAAAUAUGGAUAUGUCAACCCCCAGUUCUGUUAAAUUAAAUAUGCCCAGAAAACCUCUUAAGAAAUUAAAAAGAUUCUGAACUA